RNAcentral lists this transfer RNA (73 nucleotides) under Salanx cuvieri (noodlefish). RNAcentral describes it as "tRNA-Asn". It matches the Rfam family "tRNA". Rfam says of the family: Transfer RNA (tRNA) molecules are approximately 80 nucleotides in length. Their secondary structure includes four short double-helical elements and three loops (D, anti-codon, and T loops). Lineage: Eukaryota; Metazoa; Chordata; Actinopteri; Osmeriformes; Salangidae. The record is from RNAcentral.
UAGAUGGAUGCUCGCUGGAUAGAGCGCUUAGCUGUUAACUAAGAGUUUGUAGGAUCAAGGCCUUCCCACCUAG